Molecule: ribosomal RNA, 561 nt
Filed under: uncultured fungus
Lineage: Eukaryota; Fungi
Description: eukaryotic LSU rRNA
Rfam family: Eukaryotic large subunit ribosomal RNA
Source: RNAcentral
AAACCAACAGGGAUUGCCCUAGUAACGGCGAGUGAAGCGGCAACAGCUCAAAUUUGAAAUCUGGCUUCGGCCCGAGUUGUAAUUUGCAGAGGAUGCUUCUGGCGCGGUGCCUUCCGAGUUCCCUGGAACGGGACGCCACAGAGGGUGAGAGCCCCGUAUGGUCGGACACCAAGCCUGUGUGAAGCUCCUUCGACGAGUCGAGUAGUUUGGGAAUGCUGCUCUAAAUGGGAGGUAAAUCUCUUCUAAAGCUAAAUACCGGCCAGAGACCGAUAGCGCACAAGUAGAGUGAUCGAAAGAUGAAAAGCACCUUGAAAAGGGGGUUAAAUAGUACGUGAAAUUGUUGAAAGGGAAGCACUUGUGACCAGACUUGGGCCGGGCGGCUCAUCAGGGGUUCUCCCCUGUGCACUCCGCCCGGCACAGGCCAGCAUCGGUUCUCGUGGGGGGAUAAGACCGUUAGGAACGUAGCACCCUCCGGGGUGUGUUAUAGCCUGGCGGACGAUACCCCCGUGGGGACCGAGGUUCGCGCUCCGCAAGGAUGCUGGCGUAAUGGUCACCAGUGAC